CUUGAUGUGUGGCAUCAAUUGCAGUGAUUGAUAAUAAAAAUUCUCGUGUAUACCAUCUUUCGUCUUUCAUUUACCAUAAAUAUAUAUAUAUAUAUAUAUAUAUAUAUAUAUAUAUAUAUAU
Molecule: long non-coding RNA, 121 nt
Organism: Octopus sinensis (East Asian common octopus)
Lineage: Eukaryota; Metazoa; Mollusca; Cephalopoda; Octopoda; Octopodidae
Exons: 3
Source: RefSeq, a predicted model, not a curated record